Molecule: small RNA, 26 nt
Filed under: Bombyx mori (domestic silkworm)
Lineage: Eukaryota; Metazoa; Arthropoda; Insecta; Lepidoptera; Bombycidae
Description: ovarian small RNA-9983
Source: RNAcentral
AAACGAUGUCCUGCAGCUGAGGCUGG